GUGGGGAAUUUUGGACAAUGGGCGAAAGCCUGAUCCAGCAAUGCCGCGUGUGUGAAGAAGGCCUUCGGGUUGUAAAGCACUUUUGGCAGGGAAGAAACAGUGUGUGCUAAUACCAUGCGCGAAUGACGGUACCUGCAGAAUAAGCACCGGCUAACUACGUGCCAGCAGCCGCGGUAAUACGUAGGUUGCAAGCGUUAAUCGGAAUUACUGGGCGUAAAGCGUGCGCAGGCGGCUUUGUAAGACGGAUGUGAAAGCCCCGGGCUCAACCUGGGAAGUGCAUUCGUGACUGCAAGGCUAGAGUGUGUCAGAGGGAGGUGGAAUUCCGCGUGUAGCAGUGAAAUGCGUAGAGAUGCGGAGGAACACCGAUGGCGAAGGCAGCCUCCUGGGAUAACACUGACGCUCAGGCACGAAAGCGUGGGGAGCAAACAGGAUUAGAUACCCCGGUAGUCC
RNAcentral lists this ribosomal RNA (450 nucleotides) under uncultured bacterium. Its description in RNAcentral is "partial 16S ribosomal RNA". It matches the Rfam family "Bacterial small subunit ribosomal RNA", at positions 354 to 796 of the family's 1533-position model. The record is from RNAcentral.